UGGUAGUUCAGUUGAUAGAGCACAAGACUCUUAAUCUCAGGGAUGUGGGUUUGAGCCCCACACUGGGCAAAA
Non-coding RNA from Podarcis lilfordi (Lilford's wall lizard), 72 nucleotides. NCBI's taxonomy places the organism in Eukaryota, Metazoa, Chordata, Lepidosauria, Squamata, Lacertidae. The record is from the annotation of a GenBank genome assembly.